CUACGGGGGGCAGCAGUGAGGAAUAUUGCACAAUGGGGGGAACCCUGAUGCAGCAACGCCGCGUGGAGGAUGACGCAUUUCGGUGUGUAAACUCCUUUUAUAUGUCAAGAAAAUGACGGUAGCAUAUGAAUAAGCACCGGCUAACUCCGUGCCAGCAGCCGCGGUAAUACGGAGGGUGCAAGCGUUACUCGGAAUCACUGGGCGUAAAGGACGCGUAGGCGGGUUGGAAAGUCAGGUGUGAAAUCCUACAGCUUAACUGUAGAACUGCACUUGAAACUUCUAAUCUAGAGUAUGGGAGGGGAGAUGGAAUUAGUGGUGUAGGGGUAAAAUCCGUAGAUAUCACUAGGAAUACCCAAAGCGAAGGCGAUCUCCUGGAACAUUACUGACGCUAAGGCGUGAAAGCGUGGGGAGCAAACAGGAUUAGAUACCCCAGUAGUC
RNAcentral lists this ribosomal RNA (438 nucleotides) under uncultured bacterium. RNAcentral describes it as "partial 16S ribosomal RNA". It matches the Rfam family "Bacterial small subunit ribosomal RNA", at positions 339 to 795 of the family's 1533-position model. The record is from RNAcentral.